UGUCAGGCCCUACCCUCUUCUCUUGAUGAUACACUGUCAGGCCCUACCCUCUUCUCUUGAUGAUACUGUCAGGCCCUACCCUCUCUGCUUGAUGAUACACUGUCAGGCCCUACCCUCUUCUCUUGAUGAUACUGUCAGGUCCAACCCUCUCUGCUUGAUGAUACACUGUCAGGCCCUACCCUCUUCUCUUGAUGAUACUGUCAGGCCCUACCCUCUUCUCUUGAUGAUACACUGUCAGGCCCUACCCUCUUCUCUUGAUGAUACUGUCAGGCCCUACCCUCUUCUCUUGGGUCCACAUGAAUAACCUCCACAUGGCAGGGCCCUACCCUCUUCUCUUGAUGAUACUGUCAGGUCCAACCCUCUCUGCUUGGGUCCACAUGAAUAACCUCCACAUGGCAGGGCCCUACAGAGGGUACAUUUUACUUACAUUUGCGCCUAAAUAUUUUGCUGUGCAACCUGGAAUUUGAAUUUAGGAGCACCAGUGCACCUAUAAAAAUGAUGUAUUCUAGCUACGUUGUUCAACCUGUCAACGUAGUGUGGUAUGUGCUUUCUGUUAGACAUGUAACAUUAUGGAUGUAAAUUGUGAUUGUUGAUGUUAGCUGCAGCCACCGACACCAGCCCUGGAUCUAAGUCUGAAUCAUAAAUGAUGCAAGAAUAACUCUGAACCUGAUGAAACACAGGACCUGUUCAUAGACGGGGCUUCAUGCAGCCUUGGAAUAUCAACAACAACAACGUUGAAAGUACGUCUCGUGCUCACUGGGAUACCGAUACAGCUCCAGGGAUAAACAGAGCUCCUGAUUGAAUCGAUCCCCAGGUCGGUAUGUUGAACCCAGCUGGAGGUGUUUCUCUAUGUUCUGAAACACCUGUUCCUUUAACCCACCUGGUGAUGGUAAAGGGGAAACUCUAUACUUGAAAUCAAUGUGUUUUUAUUCAUCAGCUGUAUAGUAGGCUUUCUUUAGUUAACCAAAGCCAUAACUAGUCAGUUUAUCAUAUUUUAAUAUAUAUACCAUGUGAUUAUUUAUUUGUUGGUGAUAUUUACUAUAUAAACCAAGUGGCUGGUUCUCUUGGUUCCUGCUGUCAAAGGUCUUUGAUCUAGCUGCUCAUCAUCCUUCAUCUUCUUUAUAACCAAGUGGCUGGUUCUCUUGGUUCCUGCUGUCAAAGGUCUUUGAUCUAGCUGCUCAUCAUCCUUCAUCUUCUUUAUAACCAAGUGGCUGGUUCUCUUGGUUCCUGCUGUCAAAGGUCUUUGAUCUAGCUGCUCAUCAUCCUUCAUCUUCUUUAUAACCAAGUGGCUGGUUCUCUUGGUUCCUGCUGUCAAAGGUCUUUGAUCUAGCUGCUCAUCAUCCUUCAUCUUCUUUAUAACCAAGUGGCUGGUUCUCUUGGUUCCUUCUGUCAAAGGUCUUUGAUCUAGCUGCUCAUCAUCCUUCAUCUUCUUUAUAACCAAGUGGCUGGUUCUCUUGGUUCCUGCUGUCAAAGGUCUUUGAUCUAGCUGCUCAUCAUCCUUCAUCUUCUUUAUAACCAAGUGGCUGGUUCUCUUGGUUCCUUCUGUCAAAGGUCUUUGAUCUUGCUGCUCAUCAUCCUUCAUCUUCUUCUUCUUAUUUAAAGGGAAUGUUGUUGAAUAAAUGAUUUGACUUAAUGGCUUUAUUCUAGUUUUGAACUGCCCAGUGUAUAUCCUAGGGUCUGGACUGUUGGUCUAAAGGUUAAUGCAGACAAUAUGUACUGUUUCAAUCCUCAUACUGAGACGAGCCUGAGUGCCAGUCUGUUCCUGCUAAUAUGUUUGGCUUGACAAUUCCAUAAGGAGUUGGCAAGAGAGCAGAAAUGUUUGUUUCACAUACCUGUCAAUAAUACUAUAUGAAUCAAAUUCAGAUGUAAUGUUUGUUUCACAUACCUAUUAAUAAUGCUAUUGUAAUCAUGGGUUUAUGCUUUUGAGUGGAGCACCAUCAGCUGAACCCGUCAUGUAGAACAAGUUAUUCAACUGAUUAGAGUUCAGUACAACACUAUUAUAUAGAAGGAUAUGUUGCUGUUAUGAAAGUGUAAACAUCAGAGGGAGAGAGAAAGGUUUGGCAACAACCACUCAGCCUCACUCUGUCAGGAGAGGAGGGGAGGGGAGGGGAGCAGAGCAGCCUGUACCCAAGCUGUCACUGAGGAGCCAAACCAACACUGUAUACAUAACAGCUUUGGAACACAAUGUCACAUUCUAUUAUUAGUAAUGAUCAUCAUUAUAUUGCCUGGUGAUUCUAUAACCAAUGUCAACAUGAGUGUAUUAUAAUCAACCUACAAUAAAAGUAAGUUGUAGUUCCAGUA
This is a long non-coding RNA of Oncorhynchus gorbuscha (pink salmon), 2301 nucleotides long. RefSeq lists it as uncharacterized. Lineage: Eukaryota; Metazoa; Chordata; Actinopteri; Salmoniformes; Salmonidae. The transcript has 2 exons. The record is from RefSeq and is a predicted model, not a curated record.